GGGGGUGUAGCUCAGCUGGUAGAGCGCGUGCUUUGCAAGCAUGAGGCCAUCGGUUCGAAUCCGAUCAUCUCCAC
RNAcentral lists this transfer RNA (74 nucleotides) under Holospora obtusa F1. Its description in RNAcentral is "tRNA-Ala". It matches the Rfam family "tRNA". From Rfam's summary of the family: Transfer RNA (tRNA) molecules are approximately 80 nucleotides in length. Their secondary structure includes four short double-helical elements and three loops (D, anti-codon, and T loops). The record is from RNAcentral. Lineage: Bacteria; Pseudomonadati; Pseudomonadota; Alphaproteobacteria; Holosporales; Holosporaceae.